RNAcentral lists this ribosomal RNA (1004 nucleotides) under uncultured Bacteroidota bacterium. RNAcentral's name for it is "bacterial SSU rRNA". It matches the Rfam family "Bacterial small subunit ribosomal RNA", at positions 28 to 1031 of the family's 1533-position model. Lineage: Bacteria; Pseudomonadati; Bacteroidota. The record is from RNAcentral.
GAUGAACGCUAGCGGCAGGCUUAACACAUGCAAGUCGAGGGGCAUCGAGGGUAGCAAUACCUGUCGGCGACCGGCGCAAGGGUGAGUAACGCGUAUGCAAUCUGCCUCCAACAGGGGAAUAACCCGGAGAAAUCCGGACUAAUACCGCAUAAGACCACGGUACCGCAUGGUAUUGGGGUAAAAGAUUUAUCGGUUGGAGAUGAGCAUGCGUCCCAUUAGUUAGUUGGCGGGGUAACGGCCCACCAAGACAGCGAUGGGUAGGGGUUCUGAGAGGAAGGUCCCCCACACUGGAACUGAGACACGGUCCAGACUCCUACGGGAGGCAGCAGUGAGGAAUAUUGGUCAAUGGACGAAAGUCUGAACCAGCCAUGCCGCGUGAAGGAAGACUGUCCUAUGGAUUGUAAACUUCUUUUGUAAGCCAGCAAACCUUGGUACGUGUACCAAGCUGAGAGUAGCUUACGAAUAAGCACCGGCUAACUCCGUGCCAGCAGCCGCGGUAAUACGGAGGGUGCAAGCGUUAUCCGGAUUUAUUGGGUUUAAAGGGUGCGUAGGCGGACCGGUAAGUCAGAGGUGAAAAAGUUGAGCUUAACUCAAUCCGUGCCUUUGAUACUGUUGGUCUUGAAUAUGGAUGAAGUGGGAGGAAUGUGCGGUGUAGCGGUGGAAUGCAUAGAUAUCGCACAGAAGGCCGAUUGCGAAGGCAUCUCACUAAUCCAUUAUUGACGCUGAUGCACGAAAGCGUGGGGAUCAAACAGGAUUAGAUACCCUGGUAGUCCACGCUGUAAACGAUGAUAACUCGCUGUCGGCGAUACACAGUCGGUGGCCAAGCGAAAGCGAUAAGUUAUCCACCUGGGGAGUACGACCGCAAGGUUGAAACUCAAAGGAAUUGACGGGGGCCCGCACAAGCGGAGGAACAUGUGGUUUAAUUCGAUGAUACGCGAGGAACCUUACCCGGGCUCGAACGGCUGGUGAAUAUAGUGGAAACAUUAUAGUUCGCAAGAACACCA